GAGAGAGACAUGCGCGCAUAUCAAUAAGCGGAGGAAAAGAAACUAACAAGGAUUCCCUUAGUAACGGCGAGUGAAGCGGGAAGAGCUCAAAUUUGAAAUCUUCAAGGUUCUACCUUGACGAAUUGUAGUUUAUAGAAGUGUUUUCUGUUAGUGGAGUGGCAAAAGUUCUUUGGAAUAGGACAUCAUAGAGGGUGAGAAUCCCGUAUUUGGUCAUUCCUCCUAGCGUUGUGAUACACUUUCAACGAGUCGGAUUGUUUGGGAAUGCAGUCCAAAAUGGGUGGUAAAUUUCAUCUAAAGCUAAAUAUUGGCGAGAGACCGAUAGCGAACAAGUACCGUGAGGGAAAGAUGAAAAGAACUUUGAAAAGAGAGUUAAACAGUACGUGAAAUUGUCAAAAGGGAAGCGUUUGACACCAGUGUUGUUUUUUCCGAAAAUCAAUUACGAAUGUUUUAUUUUUUGAGGAGUUAUGACUUCAUCGGCUUGCUCCUUUCUUUAUCGAAACUUUCUUAAUGCACUUUUCGGUUAACAAGUCAACAUCAAUUUCUUUUGUUGUAAAAGGGUAUGAGGAAGGUGGCUUUCUUUUCGGAGAAAGUGUUUAUAGCCUUGUGCCUCUGCAAGUCGGAGAGAUUGAGGUCUGCAGCGUAGAUCCUUCGGGGUUAGAUACGUUUGUGCUAAGUUAUAGCUCUUUCAUAGACAACUUGUUGACUAUGUUUAGUCUUGUAGCUUACUCGCUGACGCUAUUUUACCUACGCUUAGGAUGUUGAUAGUCACAGCGUGUAC
This 778-nucleotide ribosomal RNA is filed under the name uncultured Neocallimastigales. Its description in RNAcentral is "partial large subunit ribosomal RNA". It matches the Rfam family "Eukaryotic large subunit ribosomal RNA", at positions 23 to 644 of the family's 3401-position model. Lineage: Eukaryota; Fungi; Neocallimastigomycota; Neocallimastigomycetes; Neocallimastigales. The record is from RNAcentral.